This 466-nucleotide ribosomal RNA is filed under the name uncultured bacterium. Its description in RNAcentral is "partial 16S ribosomal RNA". It matches the Rfam family "Bacterial small subunit ribosomal RNA", at positions 28 to 507 of the family's 1533-position model. The record is from RNAcentral.
GAUGAACGCUGGCGGCGUGCUUAACACAUGCAAGUCGAACGGAAAGGCCCUUGCUUGCAGGGGUACUCGAGUGGCGAACGGGUGAGUAACACGUGGGUGAUCUGCCCUGCACUUCGGGAUAAGCCUGGGAAACUGGGUCUAAUACCGGAUAGGACCAUCGUUUAGUGUCGGUGGUGGAAAGUUUUUUCGGUGUGGGAUGAGCUCGCGGCCUAUCAGCUUGUUGGUGGGGUAAUGGCCUACCAAGGCGUCGACGGGUAGCCGGCCUGAGAGGGUGUACGGCCACAUUGGGACUGAGAUACGGCCCAGACUCCUACGGGAGGCAGCAGUGGGGAAUAUUGCACAAUGGGCGCAAGCCUGAUGCAGCGACGCCGCGUGGGGGAUGACGGCCUUCGGGUUGUAAACUCCUUUCGUCAGAGACGAAGCGAAAGUGACGGUACCUGGAUAAGAAGCACCGGCUAACUACGUG